GAAUAGGCAUUCCAUUGGAUCACUAUACAGUAUCUCUGGUGCUUUUAUCUUCUGGUACACACUAAAUUAAUUUAUAAUAGAUGCGUAAUCUGCACUGGGAAAAGGACACAUGACGAUUAUGAGGGUAGUACAGAUGCCACAUUAAAAUUCGGUAAUACCUUGGAUAGCUAUUUACUGCAGUUUGCCGAUUUGAGAGUGUGUGUUUAAGACGUACGCGGUAUCUGUGUGUUUUACAGAUUAGGGGAAUGCUGGAGAGUCGUAGAUGAGAUCUCGUUAGAAAUUAUAGCAUGUGUGGAUAGAAAUGUUAGCAUGCUGAAUAGCCGGUAGAGAGAAUUACAAAAUAACUGUUUAGGCUCAUAUACAAUAACAUAGCAUUCGCACACCUACCAUCUGCAUGGCCAGGGGACUCUGACACCCCAAUCUGAGCCAGACCUUCAGAACCAGGUUGCAGGGCAAAGGUCAACAUACAGCCAUUUUGUGCUGAGUGCUUAGGGAAAUUAAUUAUUCAGACAAGUACAUUUUCUAACCAUUCAUAUUUAUUCCUAUUUACCUAAAGUGCAUGGUGUAGAGCUUGAAGAGCCCUGUUGUUGACCCCUGUUGAGCAUUGCUCAUCAUAUGAUGCAGAGCUGAAGUGCUCAAUCUGAUUAGCAUGGUGGGGAAACCUAGCAUGGUUUACAGUGCUUCCUCUCCACCAGGUAGAGGGCACCGAGGUUAGACCAUGAAUAAAUGAUGAAAUAAUUGCUGUCUGUUUUGAGAGUCUGGUCAUGCCUGUCCUGCGCGCUGGCUCAGGCAGGCAGGCCUUAGGUGUGUUCUGUAUUGGCUAAUCUUUCGUGGACAGAUUCACACGUGAACAGCGAGAAUUCAUCAAGACUCAUGUCACGUCAUGUGAAAUCUCAUGUUUCACAUUAUAAUAUGUAGUGCAGAUAUGUAUCAAUGUGAUAUGUCACUUUUUUUAUUUGACGUUGGGAAAUCGGAGAUAACAUCGAUGCCGCUGAGCCAGUGACCAGCUCUGGAACACUGAGCCAUUGACUGCACCAGGCGGCAGUAUAAUGAGUGGGUUGCUUUUUGACAAUAAGACACCGGACUGUCUACAUCCAUAACGUUUUGAACCUAGAAGAAGACUGAGAGACAGGAGUAGGCAAGAAGGAGUCGAAGGGAUUGGCAAGAAGAAUGUUGAGUUGUCCUGAAAAGCAUGGUUUGUCAUCUGAUUUUCUUUGAGCCUGGUGGAGAUAAAAUGCCCUGCCUUGUAGAAUGGUGGCAUCUAUCUGCAUCCAGGUUGAGGUUUGCUACCAGCAGGAACAUAGAACAAACACUCUGUCAUUACCAUAGCGACAGAAUGGUCCAAGGACCUCCAGAGCCCACUGACCAACUACCUGAGAUCUCUCCAAAGCACAUAGAAGUGAGUCUUCUGGGCUAUGGAACUCUAGAGCAGCACGUCUAUAGACCUGCCACCCUGUUGUCAGCUAUCCACAAACAGUUCCCUGAGGAAGGAUGCAACUAAGUAACUAACCAUUUAAUGGCCUAAUUUUGGGGGUGACCAAAUGCAAUAAAGUUUUGUAUAAACAACUAAUUUUCAUUUUUCAAUUGAUAGAUUGCAAACUUUUUCAGAGCAUGUUUGGCAUAUAUGGUCUUUAUUAAAUUGUUUUACUUCUGUGGUAAGAGCAAAGAGCUUAUGAUUCAAAAGAGAGAAUACAUGUUUAUUCAUGUAUUUCAGACACAUCACACAGGCAUGUCAACUAAAAUAUACUUUAUAUCCCAGUCAAGGUCAAAUCAACUAAGUCAGUGCUAUUGCCCAUAGUUCUUCCCAUACAUUUGAGUGGUUACAUACGAUACAUGGUGAUGGAAUAGCUGUGAGAGAGAGACUGUUGCUGUGCACACAGCAUAUUUUCUAGAAGCCUAGCUCCAGUCCACUUAGCUAGGCUAAGGUGAAAUCAAACUCAAACUGAUGAUGGGAAUUAACAUAUGUUAUACAGUUGAAGACUUAGGUUGGAGUCAUUAACUUGU
Molecule: long non-coding RNA, 2004 nt
Organism: Oncorhynchus tshawytscha (Chinook salmon)
Lineage: Eukaryota; Metazoa; Chordata; Actinopteri; Salmoniformes; Salmonidae
Exons: 4
Source: RefSeq, a predicted model, not a curated record